UGGACUGGAUAGUUGCAAACAUAAUCUUUAUUUAUUUUUGCGACCAAAUCCAGGCCACG
Molecule: microRNA precursor, 59 nt
Filed under: Strongyloides ratti
Lineage: Eukaryota; Metazoa; Nematoda; Chromadorea; Rhabditida; Strongyloididae
Description: microRNA str-mir-7880e precursor (str-mir-7880e-1)
Source: miRBase by way of RNAcentral